This 626-nucleotide ribosomal RNA is filed under the name Trichoderma koningii. RNAcentral describes it as "eukaryotic LSU rRNA". It matches the Rfam family "Eukaryotic large subunit ribosomal RNA", at positions 1 to 648 of the family's 3401-position model. Lineage: Eukaryota; Fungi; Ascomycota; Sordariomycetes; Hypocreales; Hypocreaceae. The record is from RNAcentral.
GUUGACCUCGGAUCAGGUAGGAAUACCCGCUGAACUUAAGCAUAUCAAUAAGCGGAGGAAAAGAAACCAACAGGGAUUGCCCCAGUAACGGCGAGUGAAGCGGCAACAGCUCAAAUUUGAAAUCUGGCCCCUAGGGUCCGAGUUGUAAUUUGUAGAGGAUGCUUUUGGUGAGGUGCCGCCCGAGUUCCCUGGAACGGGACGCCGCAGAGGGUGAGAGCCCCGUCUGGCUGGCCACCGAGCCUCUGUAAAGCUCCUUCGACGAGUCGAGUAGUUUGGGAAUGCUGCUCAAAAUGGGAGGUAUAUGUCUUCUAAAGCUAAAUAUUGGCCAGAGACCGAUAGCGCACAAGUAGAGUGAUCGAAAGAUGAAAAGCACCUUGAAAAGAGGGUUAAACAGUACGUGAAAUUGUUGAAAGGGAAGCGCUUGUGACCAGACUUGGGCGCGGCGAAUCAUCCGGGGUUCUCUCCGGUGCACUUCGCCGUGUUCAGGCCAGCAUCAGUUCGGCGCGGGGGAAAAAGGCUUCGGGAACGUGGCUGCUCCGGCAGUGUUAUAGCCCGUUGCAUAAUACCCUGCGCUGGACUGAGGACCGCGCAUCUGCAAGGAUGCUGGCGUAAUGGUCACCAGCGAC